ACCAACCAGAUUUAUCAAUAUCAAUAUUUAGCAAACAGUAAAUGCAUUAACCAAAUGAUCCAGCAAAAGUUAAGAUUCAAGCAAAUUAACAUUGGUUAAAGUCACAGACAGAGCAAAAAACAGAUUCUGUGUACUAGGGAAGAUUUUACAUAUGACUGCUAUUGACACUACCAUUUUAUUCCAGAUUGAUUUAAUUUAAUUCAUUUAAAUCCUCCAGCUGCCAUGGUGGGAUAUGAAAUUUGAACUUGCGUAACUGGAUGAUGUCCAAGGUUGAUUACAAGAUUCCAGAACAACUGUUUAACCAUGAUAAGAACAUAGAUGGAACACACCCACAACAAGUAUGAAAUCAAGAGAUAAGGUAGACAAAAAUGCUGGAGAAACUCAGCGGGUGAGGCAGCAUCUAUGGGACGAAGGAAUAGGUGACGUUUCGGGUCGCGACCCUUCUUCAGACUUAUUCAGAGCACUUGGGAAUAUAGUAAAAAAAA
This is a long non-coding RNA of Leucoraja erinaceus (little skate), 485 nucleotides long. RefSeq lists it as uncharacterized. The record is from RefSeq and is a predicted model, not a curated record. The transcript has 3 exons. Lineage: Eukaryota; Metazoa; Chordata; Chondrichthyes; Rajiformes; Rajidae.